UAGGGAAUCUUCCGCAAUGGACGAAAGUCUGACGGAGCAACGCCGCGUGAGUGAUGAAGGUUUUCGGAUCGUAAAACUCUGUUGUUAGGGAAGAACAAGUAUGAGAGUAACUGCUCAUACCUUGACGGUACCUAACCAGAAAGCCACGGCUAACUACGUGCCAGCAGCCGCGGUAAUACGUAGGUGGCAAGCGUUGUCCGGAAUUAUUGGGCGUAAAGCGCGCGCAGGCGGUCCUUUAAGUCUGAUGUGAAAGCCCACGGCUCAACCGUGGAGGGUCAUUGGAAACUGGGGGACUUGAGUGCAGGAGAGAAGAGUGGAAUUCCACGUGUAGCGGUGAAAUGCGUAGAGAUGUGGAGGAACACCAGUGGCGAAGGCGACUCUUUGGCCUGUAACUGACGCUGAGGCGCGAAAGCGUGGGGAGCAAACAGG
This 429-nucleotide ribosomal RNA is filed under the name Acidobacteriota bacterium. Its description in RNAcentral is "Acidobacteria bacterium partial 16S ribosomal RNA". It matches the Rfam family "Bacterial small subunit ribosomal RNA", at positions 355 to 776 of the family's 1533-position model. Lineage: Bacteria; Pseudomonadati; Acidobacteriota. The record is from RNAcentral.